This 504-nucleotide ribosomal RNA is filed under the name uncultured bacterium. Its description in RNAcentral is "bacterial SSU rRNA". It matches the Rfam family "Bacterial small subunit ribosomal RNA", at positions 28 to 524 of the family's 1533-position model. The record is from RNAcentral.
GACGAACGCUGGCGGCGUGGAUUAGGCAUGCAAGUCGAACGGUAUCAUCCUUUCGGGGGUGAGAGAGUGGCGAACUGGUGAGUAACACGUAGGUUAUCUACCCUCAAGACGGGGACAACCCAGGGAAACUUGGGCUAAUACCGGAUGUGAGCAACUUUUAGUUGUUUGAAAGGUGGCGUAAGCUGUCGCUUGGGGAUGAGCCUGCGUCCUAUUAGUUAGUUGGUGAGGUAACGGCUCACCUAGGCAAUGAUAGGUAGGCGGCCUUAACGGGUGGUCGCCCACACUGGGAUUGAGAUACGGCCCAGACUCCUACGGGAGGCAGCAGUCGAGAAUAGUCUACAAUGGUCGGAAGACUGAUAGUGCGACGCCGCGUGAACGAUGAAUCCCUUCGGGGUGUAAAGUUCUUUUAUAUGUGAGCAGUGCUUCUUAUAUUAACAGUAUGGGGAGAGAGAUAUUAGCAUAUGAAUAAGCAACGGCUAACUCCGUGCCAGCAGCCGCGGUAAA